RNAcentral lists this transfer RNA (67 nucleotides) under Marilyna darwinii (Darwin toadfish). RNAcentral describes it as "tRNA-Ser(AGY)". Lineage: Eukaryota; Metazoa; Chordata; Actinopteri; Tetraodontiformes; Tetraodontidae. The record is from RNAcentral.
GAAAGAGGCCCGCAGCAAUGAAGACUGCUAAUUUUCAUCACCUUGGUUAAACUCCGAGGCUCAUUCG